Molecule: ribosomal RNA, 253 nt
Filed under: uncultured bacterium
Lineage: Bacteria
Description: partial 16S ribosomal RNA
Rfam family: Bacterial small subunit ribosomal RNA
Source: RNAcentral
UACGGAGGGUGCGAGCGUUGUUCGGAAUUAUUGGGCGUAAAGCGCGUGUAGGCGGUUUGUUAAGUCUGAUGUGAAAGCCCCGGGCUCAACCUGGGAAGUGCAUUGGAUACUGGCAGACUUGAAUACGGGAGAGGGCAGUGGAAUUCCUGGUGUAGGAGUGAAAUGCGUAGAGAUGUGGAGGAAUACCGAUGGCGAAGGCGGCUUACUGGACCAACACUGACACUGAGGCACGAAAGCGUGGGUAGCAAACAGG